RNAcentral lists this unclassified non-coding RNA (1640 nucleotides) under Hevea brasiliensis (rubber tree). The record is from RNAcentral. Lineage: Eukaryota; Viridiplantae; Streptophyta; Magnoliopsida; Malpighiales; Euphorbiaceae.
UUUUCAACAGUUUCAUAAAAUGAUUUGUACUCAAUUUGAUUCAAAGGUUAAAAUUUUCAGAACAGAUAAUGGGACAGAAUAUGUUAAUAGUGCUUUUAGUGCCUAUCUGGAUUCUUUUGGAUAUUGCAUCAAACUAGUUGUGUUAAUAUUAGUGAACAGAAUGGGGUGUCUGAGAGAAAGAAUUAACAUUUGCUUGAGGUGGCUAGGUCUCUUAUGUUCAUCAUGAACCUUCCUAAACCUUAUUAGGGUGAUGCUAUUUUAUCAGCAACAUAUCUAAUCAAUAGAAUGCCCUUGAGGACAUUGAAUUUUAAGAGUCCUUUAGAGGUUCUAUAGGGUACCAAUUCCUAUACUAUUCCUCCAAAAAUCUUUGAGUGUGUUUGUUUUGUUCACAAGAUCAAUGUGGGCAAAUUAGAGCCUAAAGCCCUUAGACGUGUGUUUGUUGGUUAUUCUGGAACUCAAAAGGGAUAUAAGUGUUAUCAUCCACUAUCAGGAAAAUACUUUGUGAGCAUGGAUGUUACUUUUAGGGAGUCUGAACCUUAUUUACCCACACAGUCACCUCUUAAGGGGGAGCAUAAGAAGGAAGAUGUGUCUUCUAAUAUUCCUAACCAAUCCCUACCUUUUUCUUUACCGAUUAGUGGUGUUCCUAACCAAAAACAAUCACUCAAACCAAAACCCUCAAGGAGAUUGGAUAGAGUGGAUUUGCUAAGGUAUACUCAACGGAACAAGGUGGAUACAAGUGUUGAUGGUGAUACAGGAGUUGAGCAUGAUACCACUGAUCAACCUGAUGUCCUAGAUUCAAUUUCUGAACAUUUAGAAGAAGUUCAUGGUGAGUUUCCUUUGACAAGCUCUAGCUCUAAUUCUUCUGCUAAUGAUCUUGAUAUUCCCAUUGCUAUCAGACAAGGAGUUAGAUCUUGUACUAAAUAUCCUAUUUCCAAAUUUGUGUUCUAUGACUCUUUGUCUCCUUCCUACAGAGCCUUUGUAUUUUCUGUUUCUUCUGUGUCUGUACCACAGGAUUGGAAGGAGGCGUGAUCCAAAGUGGAAGGCAGCUAUGGUUGAAGAGAUGUAAGCUUUGGCAAAAAAUAAAACAUGGGAUCUUGUUGACUCUCCAUUAGAAAAGAAACUAGUGGGAUGUCAAUGGGUGUUCACAGUGAAACACAGGGCAAAUGGAUCAAUUGAAAGAUACAAGGCUAGACUAGUAGCGAAGGGUUAUACACAAACCUAUGGAGUUGAUUAUGAGGAGACAUUUGCACCUGUUGCAAAGAUGAACACCAUCAGUGUUGUUAUCCUGUGCAGCCAAUCUUGAGUGGGAUCUUCAACAGUUUGAUGUCAAUAAUGCCUUCUUACAUGGAGAUCUAGAAGAAGAGGUGUAUAUGGAAAUUCUUCCAAGUUUUGAUGAUGUUAAGACUAAAGGGAAGGUUUGCAGAUUGAAGAAAGCCUUGUAUGGUUUGAAACAGUCACCAACGGCGUGGUUUGAUAGAUUCAGUAAGGCAAUGAUUUCCUUUGGCUAUCAUCAAAGCAAUGAUGAUCAUACCCUAUUCAUGAGAUAUUUUAGAGGUAAGAUCACUUUGCUUAUUGUCUAUGUGGAUGAAAUAGUUGUGACAGGAGAUGAUAAUGAGAAAAUUGCUCAAUUGAAAACUCUC